This 304-nucleotide unclassified non-coding RNA is filed under the name uncultured Agaricus. RNAcentral's name for it is "sequence contains ITS2". The stretch from base 1 to 52 matches the Rfam family "5.8S ribosomal RNA", at positions 103 to 154 of the family's 154-position model. Lineage: Eukaryota; Fungi; Basidiomycota; Agaricomycetes; Agaricales; Agaricaceae. The record is from RNAcentral.
AACGCAUCUUGCGCUCCUUGGUACUCCGAGGAGCAUGCCUGUUUGAGUGUCAUUAAAUUCUCAACUCUCUUAUACUUUGUUGUGUAGGAGGGCUUGGAUUGUGGAGGUUUGCUGGCAACUUGUUUGCGGUCAGCUCCUCUGAAAUGCAUUAGCGGAACCGUUUGCGAUCUGCCACAAGUGUGAUAAACUAUCUACACUGGCGAGGGGAUUGCUCUCUGUGUUGUUCAGCUUCUAAUCGUCUCAGUUUGAGACAACUUUUUGAAUACUUGACCUCAAAUCAGGUAGGACUACCCGCUGAACUUAA